GAACGCACCUUGCGCCCCUUGGUAUUCCAUGGGGCAUGCCUGUUCGAGCGUCAUUUGUACCCUCAAGCUUUGCUUGGUGAUGGGUGUUUGUUCCGCUGCAACGCGUGAACUCGCCUCAAAUCAAUUGGCAGCCGGCAAUCUGGUGUUGGAGCGCAGCACAUUUUGCGCUCUUCGCUGUGGAUUGCGGGCGUCCAUGAAGCCUAUAUUUUCGCGCUUGACCUCGGAUCAGGUAGGGAUACCCGCUGAACUUAAG
This 253-nucleotide unclassified non-coding RNA is filed under the name uncultured fungus. Its description in RNAcentral is "sequence contains 5.8S rRNA gene". The stretch from base 1 to 53 matches the Rfam family "5.8S ribosomal RNA", at positions 102 to 154 of the family's 154-position model. The record is from RNAcentral. Lineage: Eukaryota; Fungi.